Molecule: non-coding RNA, 2421 nt
Organism: Rattus norvegicus (Norway rat)
Lineage: Eukaryota; Metazoa; Chordata; Mammalia; Rodentia; Muridae
Source: RefSeq, a predicted model, not a curated record
AGUGAAGGGGGAAAGUAUUGCCAUUAUAUUUUAAUUAAAAAUGUAUAAUAAAUAAAAAGCCUUGGACUUAUCGAGCUGAAGAAUGCUUGAUAUAAGCCAAAAGCCAAAGCCAGUAAAUAGCAAGAGAAACCUUAAUGCUGCUACUUACAGACCCAGCAACUGAAUCCUCCUAAUAUUCCAUACAUUAGAGGUUGCUUGCUCAACUUUCCCCUUCUUGUUCGAGGCAAUUUCAUGUCUGUCUAAUCCACUGACAUAUUGUCCACAUGCAACACAAUGCCUUCUACCUAGCUGAUAUUCACUAAUAUAUGGAAAGAAAGAAAAAAAAAGGAAAUAAAGUAAGAAUUUUCACUAAGUAUUGAGAAUGUGAUGAACAAUGGAUUUGCCGGAAUAGUUUGCAAGUUUGCAAAUGCCUAUCGUUUUUCAAAGGUAUUUAGGUUUUCAAAGACAUAAAAAUCAAAUUAUGGACAAAUACUAGAAGUUAGUUAAUAGUAACUAUAUAUUCAAAAAUUUAAGAUAUUGGAUAUAUGCAUUGUAUUGUACCUGCUUAGCAUGCAUGUGGUCAUAGGUUCAAGUUCCAGCUCCAGAUUAUCAAACAACAAAAGUCUGCUUAUUUAAUUAGCAUAUAUAGGCACAUAUACUUGUAUAUGUGUAUCCAUGCAUAGUAAUAUGUACACAUGGCAUGCUCGUAUAUAUGGAAGAUAGCGUUCUGAAGCUGCUUCUCACCUACCAUGUUGUAGAAUCUGGGGAUAAAACUCAGGUCAUUAGGCCUGUGAAUAAACCCCUGCUAAUCCUUCUUGUUAACACUAAAGGAGCAAACUUAUAAAAAAAUUAGACUGUGAUUACAGUAUUGAAUUUUAUGGAGGGCCCUCCAUGUCCUAAAAGAAGCUAAUCCAGAGAGAGAGAGAGAGAGAGAGACUGCAUAGUGAAUUAAAAACCUAUGAAUACCUGCUAGGGAUUGAGAAAUGUGUUUAACACCAAAUCAAAUACAAAACCAUGAACCUGAUAUGAUUAGCUCUCCAUCAUGAUGGCGAAUACCAAGGAGACGCAAUUUACAAAAUGGGAACAUUUAUUUUGCCUCAAAAUUUUGAAAGUUUCAACCCAGCAGUAUCUCGAUUUAUGCCUUUGGGCUUCAGGUGAAGGAAAAUAUGGAGUAGGUAGAACCUAAGUUAGAGGUUGUUUGCCUCAUGGAGCACUGAGCUGAGAGGGACAGGAAGGUUUUGGAAGCUCAGCCCCCAGUGACUUUGUAAGUGGGGUAAUCAAUCUAUCAUUAUGUGAGAGCACUCGUGAUCCAAUUAUGGGAUUCAUUAAUAGAAGACCAAACCUUCAACGUGAGACUUUAGGGUAAGGGGAUACUUCCUAUUAAAAUGGCAAUAGGCUCAGUCAGAUUCUGCACUCAGACAGGGGAGACCAGCAACCAACCUCUGCUGUUUACCUGUAGUCCAGCUUAAUAAAUGGUAGAACCCUUGAAGACAAAACAGGUUAGGAAAAUACAUCAGUAAUCAGAUGUGUCAGAUGAAAAGCCAAAGGGUUCUGCUUCUGUGUGAUGUCAGAAUAGGAAGAGCCAAUGAGACAUAAAGUAGACUGCUGACGAGUGGGAGCUCACUCAGGAAAAGGUGCUGAUAGAGAAGAAGGUAGUCGCUAACCCUUGCUAACACAGGGGCUUCGAGGGGCUCGAAAUGUCACAGCAUGCGUGAUAACAAUGCCUGGGAGACUACAGUAGAACUGUUACAGCUGCAGGAGCAUCCCUGGCACUUAUCCAUCCACUCCUAUCUCAAGGCAAAGAUCAAGGCAAAUGUCAACAGAGAGAAGUAUAAGCUGACAUAGCUUCCACUGGAAUGCUCGUACAACGGGUGUGUGCCAAGACAAUGGCAGUUUUCAUAUGGUAGGCAGGUAACUGGAUUUUGUUAAGGGAGUUAAAUUGGACAAUUUGCAGCUGCUUAUGAAUGAAUUAGAGUCAUCCACAAGUUGAGAUGAUAAAUAGCUUAGGUCUUUUGUUCUGCAGAUCUGAACUGUUGUAAAACAGCUGAACUCACUAGAAGAAGGCAUCAGUGUUUAUAAAGCUCUCAUUUUGAUGAGCUAGGAUCUAAAGUUACUAGGUUAUUCUCUUGAAAGCUCUUCAUCAUAAUCGACAGUUAAAGGGUAUCUUUGUCAUCUGUGGGGGAGGGGUGACAUGUGAGUAACAAACUUGUAACAUGUCAUGUUCUGAUUGGAGUUAACAGUUUACCUACCCACCACUGUUUGCCAUAGAAAUCAAUAUUUGGAGUGUUUUUAAAACCCACUUGAAAUAAAUUGGAAACUUGCUUAACUUUUCAAGCAGAAAUAUUGUUAUUAAUUAUUCUCAUUAUAGAACUUGAAACCAAUUAUAUGAAAAUUAAAGUCACAAACACACAUAAUUAUCACAUACAACAUUAUGCAUUUUCA